CAGUAGCCGCGGUAAGACGGAGGGUGCUAGCGUUGUUCGGAAUCACUGGGCGUAAAGGGCGCGUAGGCGGCCUGUUAAGUCGGAUGUGAAAGCCCGGGGCUCAACCCCGGAACUGCAUCCGAGACUGGCAGGCUUGAGACCGGGAGAGGAGGGUGGAAUAUCCAGUGUAGAGGUGAAAUUCGUAGAUAUUGGAUGGAACACCGGUGGCGAAAGCGGCUCUCUGGCCCGGAUCUGACGCUGAGGCGCGAAAGCGUGGGGAGCAAACAGGAUUAGAUACCCGCGUAGUCCCUGUCUCUUAUAC
RNAcentral lists this ribosomal RNA (301 nucleotides) under uncultured bacterium. RNAcentral describes it as "partial 16S ribosomal RNA". It matches the Rfam family "Bacterial small subunit ribosomal RNA", at positions 509 to 807 of the family's 1533-position model. The record is from RNAcentral.